RNAcentral lists this transfer RNA (74 nucleotides) under bacterium. RNAcentral describes it as "tRNA-Gly". It matches the Rfam family "tRNA". From Rfam's summary of the family: Transfer RNA (tRNA) molecules are approximately 80 nucleotides in length. Their secondary structure includes four short double-helical elements and three loops (D, anti-codon, and T loops). RNAcentral also lists the same sequence under 2 other names. The record is from RNAcentral.
GCGGGAUUGGUUCAAUGGUACAACACCACCUUCCCAAGGUGGAAACACGGGUUCGAUUCCCGUAUCCCGCUCCA